This 250-nucleotide long non-coding RNA is filed under the name Aquila chrysaetos chrysaetos. Its description in RNAcentral is "lncRNA (ENSACCG00020007100.1)". Lineage: Eukaryota; Metazoa; Chordata; Aves; Accipitriformes; Accipitridae. The record is from RNAcentral.
CCCGGCCCAGCCCGUUCCUGGAGAUUCCCGUUCUCCGCCCGGGCCUCCGGGCCCCGUCCUCGGAGAUUCCUGCCCCGCUUCGGGCCCGUCCCCGUGAGAGCUCAAUCGCUUCUAAUAAAGCAGUAUUGAGAAACAUAAUUGAUGGGAGACUUAUACAAGGUUUGCUUCCUGAUUUCAUAAUUGAUAAAGCUGAGACGGUGAAACCUAACUGUUGAAGGGUGGAAGGUGUGAACCUGCUCAAGCAGGUACA